GACGAACGCUGGCGGCGUGCUUAACACAUGCAAGUCGAACGGAAAGGCCCUGCUUUUGUGGGGUGCUCGAGUGGCGAACGGGUGAGUAACACGUGAGUAACCUGCCCUUGACUUUGGGAUAACUUCAGGAAACUGGGGCUAAUACCGGAUAGGAGCUCCUGCUGCAUGGUGGGGGUUGGAAAGUUUCGGCGGUUGGGGAUGGACUCGCGGCUUAUCAGCUUGUUGGUGGGGUAGUGGCUUACCAAGGCUUUGACGGGUAGCCGGCCUGAGAGGGUGACCGGACACAUUGGGACUGAGAUACGGCCCAGACUCCUACGGGAGGCAGCAGUGGGGAAUAUUGCACAAUGGGCGGAAGCCUGAUGCAGCAACGCCGCGUGCGGGAUGACGGCCUUCGGGUUGUAAACCGAUUUCGCCUGUGACGAAGCGUGAGUGACGGUAAUGGGUAAAGAAGCACCGGCUAACUACGUG
Molecule: ribosomal RNA, 468 nt
Filed under: uncultured bacterium
Lineage: Bacteria
Description: partial 16S ribosomal RNA
Rfam family: Bacterial small subunit ribosomal RNA
Source: RNAcentral